RNAcentral lists this ribosomal RNA (1467 nucleotides) under Acinetobacter calcoaceticus. RNAcentral describes it as "23S ribosomal RNA (partial)". It matches the Rfam family "Bacterial large subunit ribosomal RNA", at positions 3 to 1525 of the family's 2925-position model. The record is from RNAcentral. Lineage: Bacteria; Pseudomonadati; Pseudomonadota; Gammaproteobacteria; Moraxellales; Moraxellaceae.
UCAAGUAAUUAAGUGCAUGUGGUGGAUGCCUUGGCAGUCAGAGGCGAUGAAAGACGUAAUAGCCUGCGAUAAGCUCCGGGGAGGCGGCAAAUAUCCUUUGAUCCGGAGAUUUCUGAAUGGGGGAACCCACCUACUUUAAGGUAGGUAUUGCAACAUGAAUACAUAGUGUUGCAAGGCGAACGAGGGGAAGUGAAACAUCUCAGUACCCUUAGGAAAAGAAAUCAAUUGAGAUUCCCUUAGUAGCGGCGAGCGAACGGGGAUCAGCCCAUUAAGUUAUGUGUGUUUUAGUGGAACGCUCUGGGAAGUGCGAACGUAGAGGGUGAUAUUCCCGUACACGAAAGGGCACACAUAAUGAUGACGAGUAGGGCGAGGCACGUGAAACCUUGUCUGAAUAUGGGGGGACCAUCCUCCAAGGCUAAAUACUCCUGACUGACCGAUAGUGAACCAGUACCGUGAGGGAAAGGCGAAAAGAACCCCUGUGAGGGGAGUGAAAUAGAUCCUGAAACCGCAUGCAUACAAGCAGUGGGAGCCGACUUGUUCGGUGACUGCGUACCUUUUGUAUAAUGGGUCAGCGACUUAUAUUCAGUAGCGAGGUUAACCGUAUAGGGGAGCCGUAGAGAAAUCGAGUCUUAAUAGGGCGUUUAGUUGCUGGGUAUAGACCCGAAACCAGGCGAUCUAUCCAUGAGCAGGUUGAAGGUUGGGUAACACUAACUGGAGGACCGAACCCACUGUCGUUGAAAAGCCAGGGGAUGACUUGUGGAUAGGGGUGAAAGGCUAAUCAAGCCUGGUGAUAGCUGGUUCUCCCCGAAAGCUAUUUAGGUAGCGCCUCGGACGAAUACCAUAGGGGGUAGAGCACUGUUUCGGCUAGGGGGUCAUCCCGACUUACCAAACCGAUGCAAACUCCGAAUACCUAUGAGUACUAUCCGGGAGACAGACUGCGGGUGCUAACGUCCGUAGUCAAGAGGAAAACAAUCCAGACCGCCAGCUAAGGCCCCAAAAUCAUAGUUAAGUGGGAAACGAUGUGGGAAGGCAUAGACAGCUAGGAGGUUGGCUUAGAAGCAGCCACCCUUUAAAGAAAGCGUAAUAGCUCACUAGUCGAGUCGGCCUGCGCGGAAGAUGUAACGGGGCUAAAACUAUGUGCCGAAGCUGCGGAUUUGACUUUUAAGUCAAGUGGUAGGGGAGCGUUCUGUAAGCCGAUGAAGGUGUAUUGAGAAGUAUGCUGGAGGUAUCAGAAGUGCGAAUGCUGACGUGAGUAACGACAAAACGGGUGAAAAACCCGUUCGCCGAAAGACCAAGGGUUCCAGUCCAACGUUAAUCGGGGCUGGGUGAGUCGACCCCUAAGGCGAGGCCGAAAGGCGUAGUCGAUGGGAAAUUGGUUAAUAUUCCAAUACUUCUGUGUAAUGCGAUGAGAGGACGGAGAAGGUUAAGUCAGCCUGGCGUUGGUUGUCCAGGUGAAAGGAAGUAGGC